Non-coding RNA from Stygiomarasmius scandens, 85 nucleotides. NCBI's taxonomy places the organism in Eukaryota, Fungi, Basidiomycota, Agaricomycetes, Agaricales, Campanellaceae. The record is from the annotation of a GenBank genome assembly.
GGCUAUCUGGCGCAAUGGUAGCGCGUUUGGCUUCGAUUGCUGAAUUCGCACCAAAAGGUUGCAGGUUCGAGUCCUGCGGUCAUCA